Molecule: non-coding RNA, 54 nt
Organism: Salmo salar (Atlantic salmon)
Lineage: Eukaryota; Metazoa; Chordata; Actinopteri; Salmoniformes; Salmonidae
Source: Rfam
UGCAUUCACUACUGUAAGUCGCUCUGGAUAAGAGUGUCUGCUAAAUGACCAAUG